This 119-nucleotide ribosomal RNA is filed under the name Pteropus alecto (black flying fox). The record is from RNAcentral. Lineage: Eukaryota; Metazoa; Chordata; Mammalia; Chiroptera; Pteropodidae.
GUCUACAGCCAUGCCACUCUGAACAAGCCCAAUCCUGUCAGAUCUCGGAAGCUAGGCAGGGUCAGGCCUGGUUAGUACUUGGAUGGGAGACCACCUAGGAAGACCAGGUGCUAUAGGCA